GUACUCACUCUGGCCGUACAUAUACUCAAAUGGGAAGAAUAUAGAGAUUAGCACAGCCCCUACACAAGGAUGACACGUAAAACGAUGGUUUUUACAAAAGAUGU
Molecule: small nuclear RNA, 104 nt
Organism: Loxodonta africana (African savanna elephant)
Lineage: Eukaryota; Metazoa; Chordata; Mammalia; Proboscidea; Elephantidae
Source: Ensembl